This 403-nucleotide ribosomal RNA is filed under the name bacterium. RNAcentral describes it as "partial 16S ribosomal RNA". It matches the Rfam family "Bacterial small subunit ribosomal RNA", at positions 355 to 776 of the family's 1533-position model. The record is from RNAcentral.
UGGGGAAUUUUGCGCAAUGGGGGCAACCCUGACGCAGCAACGCCGCGUGCGGGACACGGCCUUCGGGUUGUAAACCGCUUUCAGCAGGGAAGAAAUUCGACGGUACCUGCAGAAGAAGCUCCGGCUAACUACGUGCCAGCAGCCGCGGUAAUACGUAGGGAGCGAGCGUUAUCCGGAUUCAUUGGGCGUAAAGAGCGCGUAGGCGGCCUCUCAAGCGGGAUCUCUAAUCCGAGGGCUCAACCCCCGGCCGGAUCCCGAACUGGGAGGCUCGAGUUCGGUAGAGGCAGGCGGAAUUCCCGGUGUAGCGGUGGAAUGCGCAGAUAUCGGGAAGAACACCGAUGGCGAAGGCAGCCUGCUGGGCCGCAACUGACGCUGAGGCGCGAAAGCUAGGGGAGCGAACAGG